UCUGCAGGAUUGUGUGUAUCGGCUGUACGCUUUUAUCUGUGCGUUUCUUGCUGAAAGUGUUUCCUGCUAUAUCAAUUUGGGGAAAGUGGGCAGUUAAGUUAAACUUGCUUAUUGUUUUUCUUAACAAUCAUUUUCCUCUCAUGU
Lolium rigidum is the source of this 144-nucleotide small nucleolar RNA. RefSeq annotates it as small nucleolar RNA snoR135. The transcript has a single exon. NCBI's taxonomy places the organism in Eukaryota, Viridiplantae, Streptophyta, Magnoliopsida, Poales, Poaceae. The record is from RefSeq and is a predicted model, not a curated record.